GAACGCACAUUGCACUCCUUUGGAGUAUGCCUGUUUGAGAAUCUAUAGUAUUUAUUUUUGGUUAUUUCGCAAGAGAUCACCAAGAGAUUUGAGAUGUCUCGUCUUUGGGCGAGUAUCUUUAAUGUUAUAGCCUCUUUUGUGGUAAAACACUCUGCAGAACAGUAUUUGAAUGGGACUAACGUUUCUUUGAUGCCUAAUACGCAGACUUACCUAUUGAAAGGGGGGUCCAUAAACUUAAAGUAGUACCUCGGUGCUGCUUGAACCAUGGUCUCAAAUCAGGUAGGAAGACCCGCUGAACUUAAG
This 303-nucleotide unclassified non-coding RNA is filed under the name uncultured fungus. Its description in RNAcentral is "sequence contains 5.8S rRNA gene". The record is from RNAcentral. Lineage: Eukaryota; Fungi.